UGGAGCAUUUGAAUUAAUGGCAUGAGCCACC
This 31-nucleotide non-coding RNA is filed under the name Rattus norvegicus (Norway rat). The record is from RNAcentral. Lineage: Eukaryota; Metazoa; Chordata; Mammalia; Rodentia; Muridae.